Balaenoptera acutorostrata (minke whale) is the source of this 665-nucleotide long non-coding RNA. RefSeq lists it as uncharacterized. The transcript has 4 exons. The record is from RefSeq and is a predicted model, not a curated record. Lineage: Eukaryota; Metazoa; Chordata; Mammalia; Artiodactyla; Balaenopteridae.
CUUUCGGACCCAAAAAAACCGCCUGAAAUGUGGUCGUAUUUUCAGAUGUUUCUCCAAUAGUCAUCUCUUUGGGCAACAGAUUUUCUGAGGCUGUCCAAAAGGAAAUUAUCAUUGAUGAAUGGAUAAAGAAGAUGUGGCACGUAUAUACAGUAGAAUACUACUCAGCCAUAAAAAGAGUGAAAUAAUGCCAUUUGCAGCAACAUGGAUGGACCUAGAGAUUACCAUACUAACUGAACAGGUGUGAGCACCCUACUGUGAAGGAAUGCCGUGUUACAAUGUAGGUCAAGAUUUAACCAACUGUGAAAAACAAAUAAACAAACUAUAAAAAUCAUCAUAAGUUCGUGCUGUGAUCUUCUGGAGUGUACAAUCUAAAAGAAGUAUACCUUACUGUUAUUCUUCAAUGCUAAACUACGUGGCCAAAAAGCAAAUCAAUUUGGAGUGGAAAAUGGUCCAUAUGCAUCUCAAUAAAAGCAAUUUUAUCUACUUAUAUAACAGCUUAUACAUUCUCCUAAUGAUGAAAUAAAGCAUGUGAGGCAAGGUGGCAUUUGAAAUAGAGUUUAUAACAUGAAUUAUUGGGAGAAUGUACAGUAUUUUCUAGUAAGUACUUAACAGUGUCAUCAACUAGCACUGCUAAUUUAUAUUCAAGAAAUGUAUUAUGUGUUUUC